AUUGAACGCUGGCGGCAUGCCUUACACAUGCAAGUCGAACGCGAAAGAGGGGCAACCCUUGAGUAGAGUGGCGAACGGGUGAGUAACGCAUCGGAACGUAUCCAGUAGUGGGGGAUAACCCAUCGAAAGAUGGGCUAAUACCGCAUACGCCCCGAGGGGGAAAGUGGGGGAUCCGCAAGGACCUCACGUUAUUGGAGCGGCCGAUGUCCGAUUAGCUAGUUGGCGGGGUAAGAGCCCACCAAGGCGACGAUCGGUAGCUGGUCUGAGAGGAUGAUCAGCCACACUGGGACUGAGACACGGCCCAGACUCCUACGGGAGGCAGCAGUGGGGAAUUUUGGACAAUGGGGGCAACCCUGAUCCAGCCAUGCCGCGUGAGUGAAGAAGGCCUUCGGGUUGUAAAGCUCUUUCGGCCGGAACGAAAUCGCAUCCUUUAAUACGGGGUGUGGAUGACGGUACCGGAAGAAGAAGCACCGGCUAACUACGUGCCAGCAGCCGCGGUAAUACGUAGGGUGCGAGCGUUAAUCGGAAUUACUGGGCGUAAAGCGUGCGCAGGCGGUUCGCUAAGACAGGUGUGAAAUCCCCGGGCUUAACCUGGGAAUGGCGCUUGUGACUGGCGGGCUGGAGUACGGCAGAGGGAGGUGGAAUUCCACGUGUAGCAGUGAAAUGCGUAGAGAUGUGGAGGAACACCGAUGGCGAAGGCAGCCUCCUGGGCCAGUACUGACGCUCAUGCA
RNAcentral lists this ribosomal RNA (731 nucleotides) under uncultured bacterium. Its description in RNAcentral is "bacterial SSU rRNA". It matches the Rfam family "Bacterial small subunit ribosomal RNA", at positions 28 to 753 of the family's 1533-position model. The record is from RNAcentral.